This 275-nucleotide ribosomal RNA is filed under the name uncultured Eubacteriales bacterium. RNAcentral's name for it is "uncultured Clostridiales bacterium partial 16S ribosomal RNA". It matches the Rfam family "Bacterial small subunit ribosomal RNA", at positions 70 to 339 of the family's 1533-position model. Lineage: Bacteria; Bacillati; Bacillota; Clostridia; Eubacteriales. The record is from RNAcentral.
AUUUUGAAGCUUGCUUCGGAAGAAAGUUAGUGGCGGACGGGUGAGUAACGCGUGAGCAACCUGCCUUUGUGAGGGGGAUAACACAGGGAAACUUGUGCUAAUACCGCAUGACGCAUGAGGAAGACAUCUUCUUUAUGUUAAAGGAGCAAUCCGCACAAAGAUGGGCUCGCGUCUGAUUAGAUAGUUGGUGGGGUAACGGCCUACCAAGUCGACGAUCAGUAGCCGGACUGAGAGGUUGAACGGCCACAUUGGAACUGAGAAACGGUCCAGACUCC